GGGGGAAUAUUGCACAAUGGAGGGAACUCUGAUGCAGCGACGCCGCGUGAGUGAAGAAGUAUUUCGGUAUGUAAAGCUCUAUCAGCAGGGAAGAAGACGACGGUACCUGACUAAGAAGCCCCGGCUAACUACGUGCCAGCAGCCGCGGUAAUACGUAGGGGGCAAGCGUUAUCCGGAUUUACUGGGUGUAAAGGGAGCGUAGACGGCGAUGCAAGUCUGAAGUGAAAGGCGGGGGGCGUCAACUCCCGGAUUGCUUUGGAAACUGUAUGGCUAGAGUACCGGAGGGGUAAGCGGAAUUCCUGGUGUAGCGGUGAAAUGCGUAGAUAUCAGGAGGAACACCGGUGGCGAAGGCGGCUUACUGGACGGCAACUGACGUUGAGGCUCGAAAGCGUGGGGAGCAAACAGGAUUAGAUACCCUGGUAGU
Molecule: ribosomal RNA, 424 nt
Filed under: uncultured Lachnospiraceae bacterium
Lineage: Bacteria; Bacillati; Bacillota; Clostridia; Lachnospirales; Lachnospiraceae
Description: bacterial SSU rRNA
Rfam family: Bacterial small subunit ribosomal RNA
Source: RNAcentral